CNUUGUAGCAAUACAAGGCAGACGGCUCAGUNNCGCGUAGUCAACCUAACCUAUGGACGGGAAUAACCUCGGGAAACUGAGAAUAAUGCCCGAUAGAACACUAUACCUGGAAUGGUUUGUGUUCCAAAUGAUUUAUCGCCGUAGGAUGGGACUGCGGCCUAUCAGUUUGUUGGUGAGGUAAUGGCCCACCAAGACUAUUACAGGUACGGGCUCUGAGAGGAGUAGCCCGGAGAUGGGUACUGAGACACGGACCCAGGCCCUAUGGGGCGCAGCAGGCGAGAAAACUUUGCAAUGUGCGAAAGCACGACAAGGUUAAUCCGAGUGGUUUCUGCUAAAGGAACCUUUUGUUAGUCCUAGAAACACUAACGAAUAAGGGGUGGGCAAGUUCUGGUGUCAGCCGCCGCGGUAAAACCAGCACCUCAAGUGGUCAGGAUGAUUAUUGGGCCUAAAGCAUCCGUAGCCGGCUCUGUAAGUUUUCGGUUAAAUCUGUACGCUCAACGUACAGGCUGCCGGGAAUACUGCAGCGCUAGGGAGUGGGAGAGGUANACGGUACUCGGUAGGAAGGGGUAAAUCCUUUGAUCUAUGAUGACCACCUGUGG
RNAcentral lists this ribosomal RNA (599 nucleotides) under uncultured Nitrososphaerota archaeon. RNAcentral describes it as "bacterial SSU rRNA". It matches the Rfam family "Archaeal small subunit ribosomal RNA", at positions 60 to 666 of the family's 1478-position model. The record is from RNAcentral. Lineage: Archaea; Thermoproteati; Nitrososphaerota.